Molecule: ribosomal RNA, 425 nt
Filed under: uncultured bacterium
Lineage: Bacteria
Description: bacterial SSU rRNA
Rfam family: Bacterial small subunit ribosomal RNA
Source: RNAcentral
UCGAGAAUCUUCGGCAAUGGGGGAAACCCUGACCGAGCGACGCCGCGUGCGAGAUGAAGGCCUUCGGGUUGUAAAUCGCUGUCAGAGGGGAGGAAAUUCCAAGGGGUUCUCUCCUUGGUUUGACCUAUCCUCAGAGGAAGGACGGGCUAAGUUCGUGCCAGCAGCCGCGGUAAGACGAACCGUCCAAACGUUAUUCGGAAUCACUGGGCUUAAAGGGUGCGUAGGCGGCUCUGCAAGUUGGGUGUGAAAGCCCUCGGCUCAACCGAGGAACUGCGCCCAAAACUGUGGGGCUUGAGGGAGACAGAGGUGAGCGGAACUUAGGGUGGAGCGGUGAAAUGCGUUGAGAUCCUAAGGAACACCAGUAGCGAAAGCGGCUCACUGGGUCUCUUCUGACGCUGAGGCACGAAAGCUAGGGGAGCGUAGAG